CCUACGGGAGGCAGCAGUGGGGAAUCUUGCGCAAUGGGCGAAAGCCUGACGCAGCAACGCCGCGUGCGGGAAGAAGGCUUUCGGGCUGUAAACCGCUUUCAGCAGGAACGAAAAUGACGGUACCUGCAGAAGAAGGAGCGGCCAACUAUGUGCCAGCAGCCGCGGUGAUACAUAGGCUUCAAGCGUUGUCCGGAUUUAUUGGGCGUAAAGAGUUCGUAGGCGGUCAAGUAAGUCGGGUGUGAAAAUUCUGGGCUCAACCCAGAGACGCCACCCGAUACUGCUUAACUUGAGUUCGAUAGGGGAGUGGGGAAUUCCUAGUGUAGCGGUGAAAUGCGCAGAUAUUAGGAGGAACACCGGUGGCGAAGGCGCCACUCUGGAUCGAUACUGACGCUGAGGAACGAAAGCAUGGGUAGCAAACAGGAUUAGAUACCCUGGUAGUCCAUGCCGUAAACGGUGGGGCACUAGGUGUGGGUUUCUAUUAACGAAAUCCGCGCCGUCGCUAACGCAUUAAGUGCCCCGCCUGGGGAUACGGUCGCAAGACAAAACUCAAAGGAAUUGAACGG
Molecule: ribosomal RNA, 563 nt
Filed under: uncultured bacterium
Lineage: Bacteria
Description: bacterial SSU rRNA
Rfam family: Bacterial small subunit ribosomal RNA
Source: RNAcentral